AUUGAACGCUGGCGGCAGGCCUAACACAUGCAAGUCGAGCGGAUGAAGGGAGCUUGCUCCUGGAUUCAGCGGCGGACGGGUGAGUAAUGCCUAGGAAUCUGCCUGGUAGUGGGGGAUAACGUCCGGAAACGGGCGCUAAUACCGCAUACGUCCUGAGGGAGAAAGUGGGGGAUCUUCGGACCUCACGCUCUCAGAUGAGCCUAGGUUGGAUUAGCUAGUUGGUGGGGUAAAGGCCUACCAAGGCGACGAUCCGUAACUGGUCUGAGAGGAUGAUCAGUCACACUGGAACUGAGACACGGUCCAGACUCCUACGGGAGGCAGCAGUGGGGAAUAUUGGACAAUGGGCGAAAGCCUGAUCCAGCCAUGCCGCGUGUGUGAAGAAGGUCUUCGGAUUGUAAAGCACUUUAAGUUGGGAGGAAGGGCGGUAAGUUAAUACCUUGCUGUUUUGACGUUACCAACAGAAUAAGCACCGGCUAACUUCGUG
Molecule: ribosomal RNA, 484 nt
Filed under: uncultured bacterium
Lineage: Bacteria
Description: partial 16S ribosomal RNA
Rfam family: Bacterial small subunit ribosomal RNA
Source: RNAcentral